GAUGAACGCUGGCGGCGUGCCUAAUACAUGCACGUCGAGCGAACAGACGAGGAGCUUGCUCCUCUGACGUUAGCGGCGGACGGGUGAGUAACACGUGGAUAACCUACCUAUAAGACUGGGAUAACUUCGGGAAACCGGAGCUGAUACCGGAUAAUAUAUUGAACCGCAUGGUUCAAUAGUGAAAGACGGUUUUGCUGUCACUUAUAGAUGGAUCCGCGCCGCAUUAGCUAGUUGGUAAGGUAACGGCUUACCAAGGCAACGAUGCGUAGCCGACCUGAGAGGGUGAUCGGCCACACUGGAACUGAGACACGGUCCAGACUCCUACGGGAGGCAGCAGUAGGGAAUCUUCCGCAAUGGGCGAAAGCCUGACGGAGCAACGCCGCGUGAGUGAUGAAGGUCUUCGGAUCGUAAAACUCUGUUAUUAGGGAAGAACAAAUGUGUAAGUAACUAUGCACGUCUUGACGGUACCUAAUCAGAAAGCCACGGCUAACUACGUG
Molecule: ribosomal RNA, 497 nt
Filed under: uncultured bacterium
Lineage: Bacteria
Description: partial 16S ribosomal RNA
Rfam family: Bacterial small subunit ribosomal RNA
Source: RNAcentral